AAAAAAAUGGUUGAACCAGCCUUUUAAAUAGUUUAAAGUCCGAUUCAAAGUUAGUUAAGUGCUCAUUGCAUCCAUCUCAAUUUGUAUCAACCAAAAUGGUUGCUUAACUGCGCUUAAUUUGAAUUGGACAACGUGCGACAUCAACGCGCAUUCAAAUAUAACCCAUAGAUGAAAGCCUAACAGUUUGAAUGACAGCAGUAGAUAAAAAGAGACGACGCAGCAGGCAUUGGCAUUUAGCUGCAAUUCGAAAUGACACAAAAAAAAAAGAGAAAAACCAUCCCGAAAUCAAUCAGUCAGCACGGCAACAACAACAACACUUCGCUAUGUAACCGCCGGGUUCGUGCUAAAAGAAAAACCAUAUCGGAUGGAAAUCAAAUUAAAUGUGUCUGAAUUGUGGCAAUGGGUUGACGUAGGCAUAGAAUAUGCUUUUGCCGCCUAAAUGCUGCCCCGUUGGCUGGCCCCUUUUUGGCAUUGUUCUGUUUAUAAGCUUUGCACUUUUGUUAAAUGUUUGACACAGUUUCUGGGUCGUUUAGCUGCUGCUUCUGCUGCCAUCACUGCGAUUGAGUCUAUUCGGUCCUCUUUUCAUAUAAAUGCCAUUAUAAUUCUACCUUGAGAUGUCUUUAUGCUGCGCAGAAAGCUGGCGUCAAAUUCUGAAAGACUCUUUCCCCAAAAAUGAAAGCCAUGCCGAAAAUGUACAAGUCAUGUUCUGGAAAGCGUAACAAAAUCACAGAGCAACAAAAGAAAAAGCAAAAUAAAUAUAAUACGAAAUAAAAGCAUAGAGAAAAUUGUA
Drosophila virilis is the source of this 790-nucleotide non-coding RNA. Lineage: Eukaryota; Metazoa; Arthropoda; Insecta; Diptera; Drosophilidae. The record is from RefSeq and is a predicted model, not a curated record.